GGACUACUCGGGUUUCUAAUCCUGUUUGCUCCCCACGCUUUCGUGUCUCAGCGUCAGUUGUCGUCCAGCAAGCCGCCUUCGCCACUGGUGUUCCUCCCAAUAUCUACGCAUUUUACCGCUACACUGGGAAUUCCGCUUACCUCUCCGACACUCAAGCUAUGCAGUUUCAAAGGCGGAUACGGGUUGAGCCCGUAUAUUUAACCUCUGACUUACUUAGCCGCCUACACACCCUUUACACCCAGUAAUUCCGGACAACGCUCGCCACCUACGUAUUACCGCGGCUGCUGGCAC
This 291-nucleotide ribosomal RNA is filed under the name uncultured bacterium. RNAcentral describes it as "partial 16S ribosomal RNA". The record is from RNAcentral.